CCUACGGGAGGCAGCAGUGGGGGAUAUUGCACAAUGGGGGAAACCCUGAUGCAGCGACGCCGCGUGAGUGAAGAAGUAUUUCGGUAUGUAAAGCUCUAUCAGCAGGGAAGAAAAUGACAGUACCGGACCAAGAAGCCCCGGCUAACUACGUGCCAGCAGCCGCGGUAAUACGUAGGGGGCAAGCGUUAUCCGGAUGUACUGGGUGUAAAGGGAGCGUAGACGGUUAUGUAAGUCUGGAGUGAAAGCCCGGGGCCCAACCCCGGGACUGCUUUGGAAACUGUGUAACUGGAGUGCAGGAAGGGCAGGCGGAAUUCCUGGUGUAGCGGUGAAAUGCGUAGAUAUCAGGAGGAACACCGGCGGCGAAGGCGGCCUGCUGGACUGAAACUGACGUUGAGGCUCGAAAGCGUGGGGAGCAAACAGGAUUAGAUACCCUGGUAGUC
Molecule: ribosomal RNA, 440 nt
Filed under: uncultured bacterium
Lineage: Bacteria
Description: partial 16S ribosomal RNA
Rfam family: Bacterial small subunit ribosomal RNA
Source: RNAcentral